GUGGAUUAGUGUGCGAACGGGUGAGUAACACGGGGGCAAUCUGCCCUUCACUCUGGGACAAGCCCUGGAAACGGGGUCUAAUACCGGAUAAUACUCCUGCCUGCAUGGGCGGGGGUUGAAAGCUCCGGCGGUGAAGGAUGAGCCCGCGGCCUAUCAGCUUGUUGGUGGGGUAAUGGCCCACCAAGGCGACGACGGGUAGCCGGCCUGAGAGGGCGACCGGCCACACUGGGACUGAGACACGGCCCAGACUCCUACGGGAGGCAGCAGUGGGGAAUAUUGCACAAUGGGCGAAAGCCUGAUGCAGCGACGCCGCGUGAGGGAUGACGGCCUUCGGGUUGUAAACCUCUUUCAGCAGGGAAGAAGCGAAAGUGACGGUACCUGCAGAAGAAGCGCCGGCUAACUACGUGCCAGCAGCCGCGGUAAUACGUAGGGCGCAAGCGUUGUCCGGAAUUAUUGGGCGUAAAGAGCUCGUAGGCGGCUUGUCACGUCGGAUGUGAAAGCCCGAGGCUUAACCUCGGGUCUGCAUUCGAUACGGGCUAGCUAGAGUGUGGUAGGGGAGAUCGGAAUUCCUGGUGUAGCGGUGAAAUGCGCAGAUAUCAGGAGGAACACCGGUGGCGAAGGCGGAUCUCUGGGCCAUUACUGACGCUGAGGAGCGAAAGCGUGGGGAGCGAACAGGAUUAGAUACUCUGGGUAGUCCACGCCGUACACGUUGGGAACUAGGUGUUGGGCGACAUUCCACGUCGUCGGUGCCGCAGCUAACGCAUUAAGUUCCCCCGCUCUGGGGGAGUACGGCCGCUAGGCUAAAACUCAAAAGGAAUUUGACUGGGGGCCCCGCAACAGGCAGCGGGAGCAUGGUGGCAUAAACUUCGGACUCAACGCGGAAGAAUCUUUCACCUACGGCUUGA
This 905-nucleotide ribosomal RNA is filed under the name actinobacterium 00YK3. RNAcentral's name for it is "bacterial SSU rRNA". It matches the Rfam family "Bacterial small subunit ribosomal RNA", at positions 86 to 984 of the family's 1533-position model. Lineage: Bacteria; Bacillati; Actinomycetota; Actinomycetes. The record is from RNAcentral.